Molecule: ribosomal RNA, 568 nt
Filed under: uncultured bacterium
Lineage: Bacteria
Description: partial 16S ribosomal RNA
Rfam family: Bacterial small subunit ribosomal RNA
Source: RNAcentral
UGGGGAAUUUUGGACAAUGGGCGAAAGCCUGAUCCAGCAAUGCCGCGUGUGUGAAGAAGGCCUUCGGGUUGUAAAGCACUUUUGUCCGGUAAAGAAAUCCUUGGCUCUAAUACAGUCGGGGGAUGACGGUACCGGAAGAAUAAGCACCGGCUAACUACGUGCCAGCAGCCGCGGUAAUAGCGUAGGGUGCAAGCGUUAAUCGGAAUUACUGGGCGUAAAGCGUGCGCAGGCGGUUUGCUAAGACCGAUGUGAAAUCCCCGGGCUCAACCUGGGAACUGCAUUUGGUGACUGGCAGGCUAGAGUAUGGCAGAGGGGGGUAGAAUUCCACGUNUAGCAGUGAAAUGCGUAGAGAUGUGGAGGAAUACCGAUGGCGAAGGCAGCCCCCUGGGCAAUACUGACGCUCAUGCACGAAAGCGUGGGGGAGCAAACAGGAUUAGAUACCCUGGUAGUCCACGCCCUAAACGAUGUCACUAGUUGUCGGGGAUUCAUUUCCUUAGUAACGUAGCUAACGCGUGAAGUCGACCGCCUGGGGAGUACGGUCGCAAGAUUAAAACUCAAAUGAAUUGAC